GAAGAGAAUGUUGGGUGAAAGUUUGAGUGGUUAAAGUCUCUCAUUGCCCAUGAGUGGGUGGAAUGUUGGAUUAAUAAGAGAGAUGAUCCAUUUACCUAACACCUUAAUAUUUGAGAGAACUCAUUUACCUAACAUAUUAAGGUUUUAGGUUUAGAUGUGGCAUCGGGAGUUAGAUUCAGUGUUUGAUCCGAUUAUAGGAUGUAGGGGACUCACACUAGUGGGAGAGAAUGUUUGGUGCAAAUGUGAGUGAUUAAAACCCCGCAUUAUCUAUGAAUGGGUAGAAUGUUUGAUUUAUAAGAGAGAGAGAGAGAGAGAGAGAGAGAGA
Molecule: long non-coding RNA, 325 nt
Filed under: Lathyrus oleraceus (garden pea)
Lineage: Eukaryota; Viridiplantae; Streptophyta; Magnoliopsida; Fabales; Fabaceae
Description: Pisum sativum (pea) long non-coding RNA (PSAT_LNC019450)
Source: RNAcentral